ACCAAUAGCUUAGUUGGUUAAAGCAUGGUACUCAGUAAUGCCAAGGUUGCAGGUUCAAUCCCUGUAACAGACAGCUGCA
This is a non-coding RNA of Podarcis lilfordi (Lilford's wall lizard), 79 nucleotides long. The record is from the annotation of a GenBank genome assembly. Lineage: Eukaryota; Metazoa; Chordata; Lepidosauria; Squamata; Lacertidae.